UACGUAGGGUGCGAGCGUUAAUCGGAAUCACUGGGCGUAAAGCGCACGUAGGCGGCUUGUUAAGUCGGGGGUGAAAUCCUGGAGCUCAACUCCAGAACUGCCUUCGAUACUGGCGAGCUUGAGUCCGGGAGAGGUGAGUGGAACUGCGAGUGUAGAGGUGAAAUUCGUAGAUAUUCGCAAGAACACCAGUGGCGAAGGCGGCUCACUGGCCCGGUACUGACGCUGAGGUGCGAAAGCGUGGGGAGCAAACAGG
This 253-nucleotide ribosomal RNA is filed under the name uncultured bacterium. RNAcentral describes it as "partial 16S ribosomal RNA". It matches the Rfam family "Bacterial small subunit ribosomal RNA", at positions 524 to 776 of the family's 1533-position model. The record is from RNAcentral.